This 460-nucleotide ribosomal RNA is filed under the name uncultured bacterium. RNAcentral's name for it is "partial 16S ribosomal RNA". It matches the Rfam family "Bacterial small subunit ribosomal RNA", at positions 338 to 795 of the family's 1533-position model. The record is from RNAcentral.
CCUACGGGUGGCAGCAGUGAGGAAUAUUGGUCAAUGGACGGGAGUCUGAACCAGCCAAGUCGCGUGAAGGAUGACUGCCCUAUGGGUUGUAAACUUCUUUUAUAUGGGAAUAAAAUGUUCCACGUGUGGGAUUUUGUAUGUACCAUAUGAAUAAGGAUCGGCUAACUCCGUGCCAGCAGCCGCGGUGAUACGGAGGAUCCGAGCGUUAUCCGGGUUUUUUGGGUUUAAAGGGAGCUUAGGUGGAUUGUUAAGUCAGUUGUGAAAGUUUGCGGCCCAACCGUAAAAUUGCAGUUGAAACUGGCAGUCUUGAGUACAGUAGAGGUGGGCGGAAUGCGUGGUGUAGCGGUGAAAUGCUUAGAUAUCACGAAGAACUCCGAUUGCGAAGGCAGUUCACUGGACUGCAACUGACACUGAGGCUCGAAAGUGUGGGUAUCAAACAGGAUUAGAUACCCUUGUAGUC